GAGUUUGAUUCAUGGCUCAGGACGAACGCUGGCGGCGUGCCUAAUACAUGCAAGUAGAACGCUGAAGAGAGGAGCUUGCUCUUCUUGGAUGAGUUGCGAACGGGUGAGUAACGCGUAGGUAACCUGCCUUGUAGCGGGGGAUAACUAUUGGAAACGAUAGCUAAUACCGCAUAACAAUAGGUGACACAUGUCAUUUAUUUGAAAGGGGCAAUUGCUCCACUACAAGAUGGACCUGCGUUGUAUUAGCUAGUAGGUGAGGUAACGGCUCACCUAGGCGACGAUACAUAGCCGACCUGAGAGGGUGAUCGGCCACACUGGGACUGAGACACGGCCCAGACUCCUACGGGAGGCAGCAGUAGGGAAUCUUCGGCAAUGGGGGCAACCCUGACCGAGCAACGCCGCGUGAGUGAAGAAGGUUUUCGGAUCGUAAAGCUCUGUUGUAAGUCAAGAACGAGUGUGAGAGUGGAAAGUUCACACUGUGACGGUAGCUUACCAGAAAGGGACGGCUAACUACGUGCCAGCAGCCGCGGUAAUACGUAGGUCCCGAGCGUUGUCCGGAUUUAUUGGGCGUAAAGCGAGCGCGGGCGGUUUGAUAAGUCUGAAGUUAAAGGCUGUGGCUCAACCAUAGUUCGCUUUGGAAACUGUCAAACUUGAGUGCAGAAGGGGAGAGUGGAAUUCCAUGUGUAGCGGUGAAAUGCGUAGAUAUAUGGAGGAACACCGGUGGCGAAAGCGGCUCUCUGGUCUGUAACUGACGCUGAGGCUCGAAAGCGUGGGGAGCGAACAGGAUUAGAUACCCCGGUAGUCCACGCCGUAAACGAUGAGUGCUAGGUGUUGGAUCCUUUCCGGGAUUCAGUGCCGCAGCUAACGCAUUAAGCACUCCGCCUGGGGAGUACGACCGCAAGGUUGAAACUCAAAGGAAUUGACGGGGGCCCGCACAAGCGGUGGAGCAUGUGGUUUAAUUCGAAGCAACGCGAAGAACCUUACCAGGUCUUGACAUCCCGAUGCUAUUUCUAGAGAUAGAAAGUUACUUCGGUACAUCGGUGACAGGUGGUGCAUGGUUGUCGUCAGCUCGUGUCGUGAGAUGUUGGGUUAAGUCCCGCAACGAGCGCAACCCCUAUUGUUAGUUGCCAUCAUUCAGUUGGGCACUCUAGCGAGACUGCCGGUAAUAAACCGGAGGAAGGUGGGGAUGACGUCAAAUCAUCAUGCCCCUUAUGACCUGGGCUACACACGUGCUACAAUGGUUGGUACAACGAGUUGCGAGUCGGUGACGGCAAGCUAAUCUCUUAAAGCCAAUCUCAGUCCGGAUUGUAGGCUGCAACUCGCCUACAUGAAGUCGGAAUCGCUAGUAAUCGCGGAUCAGCACGCCGCGGUGAAUACGUUCCCGGGCCUUGCACACACCGCCCGUC
This 1406-nucleotide ribosomal RNA is filed under the name uncultured bacterium. RNAcentral describes it as "bacterial SSU rRNA". It matches the Rfam family "Bacterial small subunit ribosomal RNA". The record is from RNAcentral.